GCGAAAGCAUUUGCCAAGAAUGUUUUCAUUAAUCAAGAACGAAAGUCAGAGGUGCGAAGGCGAUCAGAUACCGCCGUAGUUCUGACCGUAAACGAUGCCGACUGGCAAUUGGGCGCACUUCUGUCGAAGUUGCCGCCAGCAGUACUGCCCGGGAAACCAAAGUCAUUGGGUUCCGGGGGGAGUAUGGUUGCAAAGCUGAAACUUAAAGGAAUUGACGGAAGGGCACCACCAGGAGUGGAGCCUGCGGCUUAAUUUGACUCAACACGGGAAACCUCACCCGGCCCGAACACUGUUAUGACAGACAGGUUGAGAGCUCUUUCUCGAUUCAGUGGUUGGUGGUGCAUGGCCGUUCUUAGUUCGUGGAGUGAUCUGUCUGGUUAAUUCCGAUAACGAACGAGACUCUUGCCUGCUAAAUAGACGGCGUCGGCCACGCGUCGGCGACCGUUCGCUUCUUAGAGGGACAAGCGGCUUUCAGCCGCGUGAAGCCGAGAGCAAUAACAGGUCUGUGAUGCCCUCAGAUGUUCGGGGCCGCACGCGCGCUACACUGUUUGCAUCAGCGUGUUCCACCCGCGCCGACUGGCGCGGGCAACCCGUUGAACCGCAAACGUGCUAGGGAUCGGAGAUUGCAAUUGUUCUCCGUGAACGAGGAAUUCCUUGUACUGGCGAGUCAUCAGCUCGCGGGGAAUCUGUCCCUGCCCUUUGUACACACCGCCCGUCGCUACUACCGAUUGAGUGGUUUAGUGAGGCUCACGGACUGCGCGCGGCAACCGACUCCCUUCGGGGGGGCGCCGUCGCGUGCGGAAAGUGUGACGAACUUGAUCACUUCUAGGAAGUAAAAGUCGUAACAAGGUUUUCGUAGGUGAACCUGCGGAAGGAUC
RNAcentral lists this ribosomal RNA (878 nucleotides) under Celleporaria aperta. RNAcentral describes it as "SSU rRNA". It matches the Rfam family "Eukaryotic small subunit ribosomal RNA", at positions 945 to 1827 of the family's 1831-position model. Lineage: Eukaryota; Metazoa; Bryozoa; Gymnolaemata; Cheilostomatida; Lepraliellidae. The record is from RNAcentral.